Molecule: ribosomal RNA, 301 nt
Filed under: uncultured bacterium
Lineage: Bacteria
Description: partial 16S ribosomal RNA
Rfam family: Bacterial small subunit ribosomal RNA
Source: RNAcentral
CAGUCGCCGCGGGAAUACAGAGGGUGCAAGCGUUAAACGGAUUUACUGGGCGUAAAGCGUGUGUAGGUGGCUGUUCAAGUCGGUUGUGAAAGCCCUGGGCUCAACCUGGGAAUUGCUUCCGAGACUGAGCGGCUAGAGUACGGUAGAGGGCGGUGGAAUUUCCGGUGUAGCGGUGAAAUGCGUAGAUAUCGGAAGGAACACCAAUGGCGAAGGCAGCCGCCUGGGCCUGUACUGACACUGAGACACGAAAGCGUGGGGAUCAAACAGGAUUAGAUACCCCAGUAGUCCCUGUCUCUUAUAC